GGCUUGGUAGCUCAGCUGGUUAGAGUGCUGGCCUGUCACGCCAGAGGUCGAGGGUUCGAUCCCCUUCCUAUAUA
Molecule: transfer RNA, 74 nt
Filed under: Clostridium sp. DMHC 10
Lineage: Bacteria; Bacillati; Bacillota; Clostridia; Eubacteriales; Clostridiaceae
Description: tRNA-Asp
Rfam family: tRNA
About the family: Transfer RNA (tRNA) molecules are approximately 80 nucleotides in length. Their secondary structure includes four short double-helical elements and three loops (D, anti-codon, and T loops).
Source: RNAcentral